GACGAACGCUGGCGGCGUGCUUAACACAUGCAAGUCGAACGAUGAAGCCGGAGCUUGCUCUGGUGAAUUAGUGGCGAACGGGUGAGUAACACGUGAGUAACCUGCCCCUGACUCCGGGAUAACUGCUAGAAAUGGUAGCUAAUACCGGAUACGACCCUCGGAGGCAUCUCCAGGGGGUGGAAAGAAUUUCGGUCAAGGAUGGACUCGCGGCCUAUCAGCUAGUUGGUGAGGUAAUGGCUCACCAAGGCGACGACGGGUAGCCGGCCUGAGAGGGUGACCGGCCACACUGGGACUGAGACACGGCCCAGACUCCUACGGGAGGCAGCAGUGGGGAAUAUUGCACAAUGGGCGCAAGCCUGAUGCAGCAACGCCGCGUGAGGGAUGACGGCCUUCGGGUUGUAAACCUCUUUUAGUAGGGAAGAAGCGAAAGUGACGGUACCAACAGAAAAAGCACCGGCUAACUACGUGCCAGCAGCCGCCGUAA
RNAcentral lists this ribosomal RNA (484 nucleotides) under uncultured bacterium. RNAcentral's name for it is "partial 16S ribosomal RNA". It matches the Rfam family "Bacterial small subunit ribosomal RNA", at positions 28 to 523 of the family's 1533-position model. The record is from RNAcentral.